This 684-nucleotide ribosomal RNA is filed under the name uncultured archaeon. Its description in RNAcentral is "bacterial SSU rRNA". It matches the Rfam family "Archaeal small subunit ribosomal RNA", at positions 88 to 771 of the family's 1478-position model. The record is from RNAcentral.
GCUCAGUAACACGUGGAUAACCUACCCUUAGGACCGGGAUAACCUUGGGAAACUGAGGAUAAUACCGGAUAGGCAAUUAUUCCUGCAAUGGUUUUUUGUUUAAAUGUUUUUUCGCCUAAGGAUGGGUCUGCGGCCGAUUAGGUAGUUGGUUAGGUAAUGGCUUACCAAGCCGUUGAUCGGUACGGGUUGUGAGAGCAAGAGCCCGGAGAUGGAACCUGAGACAAGGUUCCAGGCCCUACGGGGUGCAGCAGGCGCGAAACCUCCACAAUGUGAGAAAUCGCGACGGGGGGAUCCCAAGUGCCAUUCUUAACGGGAUGGCUUUUCAUUAGUGUAAAGAGCUUUUGGAAUAAGGGCUGGGCAAGACCGGUGCCAGCCGCCGCGGUAACACCGGCAGCUCUAGUGGUAGCAGUUUUUAUUGGGCCUAAAGCGUCCGUAGCCGGUUUAAUAAGUCUCUGGUGAAAUCCUGUAGCUUAACUGUGGGAAUUGCUGGAGAUACUAUUAGACUUGAGACCGGGAGAGGUUAGAGGUACUCCCAGGGUAGAGGUGAAAUUCUGUAAUCCUGGGAGGACCGCCUGUUGCGAAGGCGUCUAACUGGAACGGUUCUGACGGUGAGGGACGAAAUUUAUGGGCGCGAACCGGAUUAGAUACCCGGGUAGUCCUAACCGUAAAACGAUGCGGACUUUG